This 6257-nucleotide small RNA is filed under the name Rattus norvegicus (Norway rat). Its description in RNAcentral is "uncharacterized LOC102555866". The record is from RNAcentral. Lineage: Eukaryota; Metazoa; Chordata; Mammalia; Rodentia; Muridae.
CUAUCUAUCAUCUAUCUAUCUAUCAUUUAUCUAUAUGUAUGAAGAUAGAGCAUGUUUAGAUAUAAAAUAUUUAUGGAUCACUCAUGAAGUUGCAGUGGUUGUCAUCAUUGAAAAUAAAGCAUCAGUUUAAUUACUUUGAUUCAUAUAUAACCAAACAGGCUAUAGCUAGUGUGCAUUCUUGUAUAUGAAUGCAUGGAAAUAUAAUACCUUGUUUUAAGACAGCAUUUUAAAUGCUAUCUCUUUAACCUGAAUUCAGUGACCAGAAAGAGCAAGUAUAAAUUCUGACCUCUGGCCAUCGAAACAGCAAUAGCAAGCAGUAUUUGCUUGCAAGUGGAUGGUGCCUGGCAGAGGAGAAAAAAACAAGAACAAAACCAAUAAACACAAGAUACAGGAACCUCACAGACUCAAAGAAGCCCAGUCAAAAACAAAAUAAUUGGUGCCUACCAGCAUUCAUACAUUCAACUAUCCUCACUGCUUUCCAUCUAGACACCCAAGUAUAGAAAGGAACCUAUGGAUAGACCUGAUACCAUGGAGUCAUCUGCACAUAGAAGACAGAAAAACUAUUCCAAAUAAUUAAAUUCAAGAAGCAGGUUGUCUUGCCCUUUAACAUAAUGGGGAUGGACAUAUUUUAUUAAAUAAGUGGUGGAAUGAUGGUGGGUUAGGGGCUGGGGCAGAUUUUGGGUGUUCUAUAUCCAGUGAUCCACUGGGAAAUUUCAUAAGAAAAAAAAAGGUGUGGUUUGGAGGAAAAGGAAGAAGGUGAUGAUCUGCCAUGCUGGAGUCAAGUGCAUUUGGGGAGAGAAAGAAAUAGGGAUUACUAUUUUAGCUAGAGUAUCCCUUCCUAUAAAUUGUACAGGACAGUUUAAUUCUACUAGAAAUAGGUUGAAUAAGAGGAUAUCCCUAAAACAACUGAUAAGUGGUGGAGUCUGAUGAAAUUGUUACUACUAUUUCCUUAUGUUAACAAUAAAAAAAUCUAGAGGAGAAUUGAAUCUCCAAAACUUUUAUCAGGACUGAAAAUGUGGUGACAGUAUGUAGAAGGAAGGAGCUGGAUCACUCUAAUGCUGUGAUUACUACCUGAGGCUUCCUCUCAGAGAUGAUGUCGGUUAGGACAGGAGAACCUGAGCAACCUCAGUCAUCUAUGGCCAGACCUAGAAGGUUAGCUAGAAAGUGAUCUGGUCUUGAUGUCCUCAUGCUGAGGAGGACAGGAGGACAAUAGGGAAGGGUUGGACACAACCAAAAGUGCCACAAAUGACCAGAGAAAUGGUGGGAUUAUAGGCACAUUGAAUAGAAGGCAAAAGAACAGAGUGGGAAGGCGCACAAAAGUCCUGUUAGAUUAAGAAACUACAGGAUUUCAGCUCCCAUGGUGGGAGGCUGAAUGGAGUCAAGUGAAGAGAGGGCCAGCAUAAACUUGAAGUCCAUGUCUAGAGAUAUUUUCACAUCCAAAAGUACCAGAGGUGUGCUGGACCCUCACCAGUCAUUUCCUUGGACUCAGGAAUAUAUUGUCACUGAGGAAAGAGGAAACUUACCUAAUUUCCACCACUGGAUGGUGGUCUAAGUGACUGAUGGAUUGGAAGUUAUGUUUGUUGCAGGUAGCCUGCAGUCAACAACUCCAGUGCAGAAUGGACCCUGAAGAGGAAUUCAAGCACCAACAGAGCCUAUGCAACCACAUCUUGUAUAUAAUUCAUCUGCAUGGUCACAAAUAGAAAGUGAAGAUCAACCACAAUGACUUCAAAUGGGACUCUAUUCUGCAGAUGCUUAUCUUCAGAUCUCAGCCUGGACAUGAUUUGCAAUAGUGCAGACAAAGACUAUAUUUAAACAAUUUUAGAGUUAUGGAGGUUUGCUGUGACGUAUGGAGGUUGAUAAAGCAGAACUGAGUUCCCUGACCUGGGUGAUACUUCUUUCUGAAAGAAAUUUCUAAGAAAAAAAUGGAGAAAAGAACCUGGGUAAGUAUCUAAAAAAGAAGCAAUAUGUCAAACGAAAGGAUCCAAGGUGGUUUUGAAACAUCUAAUCCAAAGAUCAUUUAGCAGAAAACUAAAUUGGGGCCAUUCCAUCCCUGGUUAUUGCUAGAAAACCUUGUAAUUCUGUUUUUCAAGUUCCAUUUCCUGUCAUUACCAGAACAUCAGCUGAGGGUUUACAGAGAUAACACACUAUAUCACAUUACUUGUUUUAAGGGCCCUAUAUAUAGUGUUCUAGAAGACCAUUCCUCAUGCUAAAUUCCGGAAAGAAAAAAAUUGGUCAAAUACUGGAUGUGCCUAUUAUUCUUAUGCAUUCCACAGUGUCCGACACCCUCAGAGUGAGCAGAAUGAUAGCAUUAUGGCUAUUAAAGUUGGAAACCCCAGUAUGUUUCCAAUUCCAGGUAUAGACACAUAGAGUAGGAGGAUUAUAUCCCUUGGAAAUAUCCAUUUUGAUAUUGUAUGUCGGUGUGGACGUUUCCCUUCAUAAAACUGGGAAGAGGGAUAUGGCUAGAAGGAGAAUCUGUGGAAGUAAAACAUUUCCUGAAUAAUGUAACAGAUAGUAAAUUUCUCCUCCAUACACCUGUGAAUGGUAUAUCACUCCUCUGCUCAGCCCCUUCUUGUCAUACACUUAGAUCUUGAGCCCUUGACCUUUCAAUAGAUGAGGACAAGUUGUUUCGCAAAUAUGCACAUUUUUGGGGUCCUAAAAAUUAGAAGAAUUUCACCAGUCAUAGAAGUUCAGCAAACCAAAGUCUUUAUUUGAAUUAGGCAGCAAAACCUGACCAUCCAGAGACAACAGCUCAGACUCUAGGGUUGACUAUGUCUUUGUUUAUCUUAGUAAGUAUUUAAGCAGAUGAUUAAUUUUUAUUUUACUCAAACUACUGCUGAUUAAUCUGGGCCUCAGGUCAGAGUCAGAAUUUGAACUGUGAGAAAUAGGAAAGUAUGCAAUGCUUUUUAAAGAGGAUAAUACAAAUUGAAGAGGAGUGAGAUUGGUUGUGGUGUUGAUCAAUUAUAUUUUGACAGAAGAAUUUGAGCAACGGUGUAUCAGUGACUGGGUCUUAUAUGGGCCACUUGAUUUCAAGGUCUUCCACCCAGAGCUUUGGUGAUCAGAUCUUAUACUGGAUAUUUGGCCUGUUACUCAAUCAAUAUAAAGCAGGAACAUAGGAAUGGGCCAAGUGCCUGGUGUUAAUUAAGGCAUUAUAGCUAAUACUUUUACAAUUGUGUACCUCAGUUUAGGUAUUAAGUAACAUUUUCUUUUACCUUCUUUUGUGAAAUACUGGUUAACAAACAAGAAAGACUAGACAUAUGAGUUGCUACUCUAUACUUAUUUCCAGCAUGAUAGAGAUGCUGGGAGACCACUGUCUUUUUACACACCCUAUACACAAUCUUCAUGUACCUGAAUCAAAUCUUUGAUGGUAAUUCUCCUGGCCCUUAAAUAAACUUGCAGCAUUAAUGUGAUAUUGACCAAAACAUAAAAAAUGUUUAUCAUGGAAGUGCCAUAAAUCUUAACCAGGAAAAACAAAACUUGUUUUUUGGUAUGUGAAUUCGCAUUAUAGGUAGCCAUUUUCCUCUUAUGGUAGAGCAUUUCCUUUUGACUUAGUAUUUCAGCCUAUUAGGUAAGAAAAUGUUUGCUGUAUUCUCAUCUUUAACUACUUCCAACUGACUUUAGGACAUUACUAUUAGGGCUCUGGAUGACUGAAAGUGUAAUCAAAGGCUAUUGAUGGGGAAUUUAUCAGAAGCAAUCACAUAUUUUGUAAUAGUUUAAAUCAGCUUUUAGCAAUUCCAGUGCUUAAGAGCUUUCAGUGAUUGUCAGUCAAGAAGAUACUGAGACAAAUAUGGAUUAUGGACAGAAGUUAAAAUUUUCCAGCAAUUGGGAAAGGUGAGGAAUACCAAGACCAAAUGGACAAUCCCAUUUUCAGGAACAGACAAGUGUAUCUAAAGUCUCUUUGAUGUGUGACAGGUAGAUCAAGUCUUAUGAUUUCCUAAACCAUGUGCAAAUAUUAGUUUACAAAAGGAGGUAUAUUAGUAUUAUGAUUGUAUUUACAUCUCUAUUUAAAAAUAGUGAACAGAUAUCUGUCAGACAUCAAGUAUAGAUUCAUGCCUUUGUGACCUAGAAAAAGCUAUAGCUAUGGUUUAAAAGCCUGAUGAGAAGCACUGUUAAGUUUAUAUUCAGAAGACAACUCAAGGGGGUUUAAAAACUUGAGCUUGUGACUAGAAAAUAAGCACCCAGUACUCUACAAUGUUAUCAGAAUGCCAUUGAUCAAUGGUAACAUUCUGAUCUUUGGAAAUCUUAGUAUAAUGAUAUCAUAGAAAGCGGUAUUAAUAUGAAUCAUUUCUCAUUUUUCUUAUAACUUAUAUCACUGUCUUGCACCUCUGCUGCCUGAUGCUAAUUGCUCUUGUGAGUUGGAGAUGAGGAGACACAGAAUCAAUGGCACAGAUCCUGGAAUGGAUUGGAACAUCCCAGCAGCCUUAUAUGAAUACUGCUACAAGCUCAUUUAAUUAGUCACAGAAGGGUGCUCUUUAUAAAGUGCACCUGCAUUUUAUUGGUCAAUGCAAGCUUCUCUUCUAAGCAUAAUUCCCAACAACCUGGAUGAUCUGCAUCAGCAAUCCUUAGUCUUUCUGGCAGUCUCCAAGUAGGUCCUUCUGCAGGGGUUGCCUUUGUCUCUUUGCUCUGUGCUACAACAUUUAUGGAGAGGCAGCCACUUCCAUUUCUUCUACAUUUCCACACAUUUGUUUUUAGACUUUGACAGCCUAGUGCAAGCCAGGGUGCCAUUUCCUCCACAUUGUUGUCUCCACGUUGGAGUGUUCCCAGUAUACUAGACUGUGACUGUCUCUAAUUUUCCUGUCUUCCAGGAUCUUACCCAUCAUUGAAUAUCAGCCCUCAAAGUGACAUCACUACCGAGGCAUGUAACACAAGGGAGAGAUGAGAAAGAGCCUAUGGUGGUCUCACCCAUCUCAGACAUCCAGGCUUUGCUCACUUCCUUAGGGGUUGCACAAUCAGGAUUUUCAGGGCUUUCAGGAUUUUCAAGAACCAUCAGCAACUGGAGGGUCAUCUUAUUUGUGGAGUAUUGCCUGGAAAUAUGAUGUGUGAGUCACACAGGCCAGAAGACUCUGAAGGACUCCCAAGACUGCUGGUUAAUUCUAGCCUGAUUCUCAGCAAAGUCACAAUAUUCAGACUUCCAAUUAAGAAACAUGGGUGGUUUUAACACCACCUUCUGAAGAUUAUACCUAUAUAACAUGUCUGCAGGUCUUUAUUGAUAUAUCAGAGUCACUGAAUGGAUUUGGGAGAACUCUGACUCUAAAAAGAAAUUGUUCAGCACGUUUUAAAGGAUGAGACCACGAAGUGAGGAGGAAGACCUCAGAAAGAUAAACAUGAAUAUGCUGCCUCAAAUCUUUUCACCACAGUGCUGAUGUGUAGAUGAAGAUCUGGGUUUUAAUUUUCUGUCAGCUUCAUCAGGGAUAAAAAAAUAUGACAUCCAAGGAUCCUCCAUGAAGAGCCACCAAGAAAGUCUUCACCUACAGAGCUUCCUUCUACACCCUCAUGGAAGGAUUCCCUGUGCUCCUAGUAGCACCCACCACUAAACUCAAGCCUACCACCAUCCAGAAAGGACUCGCCCAGUGGGACCAGCUGGAGCUCCACCCCAUCCCCCAUCCCCGGCCUAGAUCCAGCCUCUGAGCCUCCAUUUCAUUCUCAGCUCUUCUGAGGCAUUCCAGGGGUGACUGGAUGCCCAAGAGCCUGAGAACCAGAUGGCUCCGGCGUCUUUGCAGACUUGGGACCUGACCUGAGAGCCAGCUCGGGCUGUUUCCAGUACUCAGACUAUGCUUCCCCACACACCCCAGAGGGGUGUCCCACAGCUUUCCACAGCUCAACACCGGCCUGGUGACAGCAUGGAGUAGUGUGAUCAAACUUCCUGCAUCCAGCCUUCCAGAGACUAAUCCUACAGCAUCUCAGUUGUUUGAUUUUCAUUUCCCUGAUGAUUAAGCAUGUUGAACAUUUCUUUAAGUGCUUCUUGGAUAUUCAAGAUUACUCAGUUGAAAAUUUUCUGUUUAAUUUUAUAACAUUUUUUUAAAUUCGAUUAUUUGUUGUUUUGGUGUCUAACCUUUUGAUUCUUUAUAUAUAUUGGAUAUUAGCCCUUUGUCAGAUAGCGACUUGGUGAAGAUCUUUUCUCAUGUUUAGGCUACUGUUUUGUCUUCUUUAGAGUAUCUAUUGCCCUACAGAAGCUUUCAGUUUUAUGAAGUUAUGAUUAUCAACUAUCAAUGUUAGAGCCCUAGCCAUUGUUCUCUUCAAUAAAAUUUCUCCUAUGCCAA